GAUGAACGCUGGCGGCGUGCUUAAUACAUGCAAGUCGAACGGAAAGGCCCUGCUUUUGUUGGUUUCUCGAUUGGCGAACGGGGGAGUAACACGUGUGUAUCCUGCCCUUGACUGUGGGAUAACUUCUGGGAACUGGGGCUAAUACCGGGUAGGAGCUCUUGCUGCAUGGGGGGGAUUGGAAAGUUUCGGCGGUGGGGGAUGGACUCGCGGGUUAUGAGCUGGUUGGUGGGGUAGUGGCUUACCAAGGCUUUGACGGGUAGCCGGCCUGAGAGGGUGGACGGCCACAUUGGGACUGAGAUACGGCCCAGACUCCUACGGGAGGCAGCAGUGGGGAAUAUUGCACAAUGGGCGGAAGCCUGAUGCAGCAACGCCGCGUGCGGGAUGACGGCCUUCGGGUUGUAAACCGCUUUCGCCUGUGACGAAGCGUGAGUGACGGUAAUGGGUAAAGAAGCACCGGCUAACUACGUG
RNAcentral lists this ribosomal RNA (468 nucleotides) under uncultured bacterium. RNAcentral describes it as "partial 16S ribosomal RNA". It matches the Rfam family "Bacterial small subunit ribosomal RNA", at positions 28 to 507 of the family's 1533-position model. The record is from RNAcentral.